Molecule: ribosomal RNA, 606 nt
Filed under: uncultured bacterium
Lineage: Bacteria
Description: bacterial SSU rRNA
Rfam family: Bacterial small subunit ribosomal RNA
Source: RNAcentral
AGACAUGCAAGUCGGACGAGAUUUUUCGUUGUAGCAAUACGAUGGAAAGUCUAGUGGCGAACGGGUGCUUAACACGUGGGCAACCUGCCGAGAAGUGGGGGAUAGCUCGCCGAAAGGCGAAUUAAUACCGCAUGUGAUUAGAGAGGACAUCCUUUCGAAAUCAAAGCUGGGGCAACCUAGCGCUUCCUGUGGGGCCCGCGGCCUAUCAGCUAGUUGGUGGGGUAAUGGCUCACCAAGGCUUUGACGGGUAGCUGGUCUGAGAGGACGACCAGCCACACUGGGACUGAGACACGGCCCAGACACCUACGGGUGGCAGCAGUCGAGAAUUUUUGACAAUGGGGGAAACCCUGAUCGAGCGACGCCGCGUGGAGGAUGAAGGUCUUCGGAUUGUAAACUCCUGUCAUUGGGGAACAAGUCGCUUACGUUAACUGCGUGAGCGUUGAUGGUACCCGAAGAGGAAGAGACGGCUAACUCUGUGCCAGCAGCCGCGGUAAUACAGAGGUCUCAAGCGUUGUUCGGAUUCAUUGGGCGUUAAGGGUGCGUAGGCGGCGCGGUAAGUCGGGUGUGAAAUCUCGGGGCUUAACUCCGAAACUGCAUUCGAUACUG